This 89-nucleotide transfer RNA is filed under the name Thermoleophilaceae bacterium. Its description in RNAcentral is "tRNA-Ser". It matches the Rfam family "tRNA". From Rfam's summary of the family: Transfer RNA (tRNA) molecules are approximately 80 nucleotides in length. Lineage: Bacteria; Bacillati; Actinomycetota; Thermoleophilia; Thermoleophilales; Thermoleophilaceae. The record is from RNAcentral.
GGAGGGGUGCCGGAGCGGUUGAACGGGGCGGUCUCGAAAACCGUUAAGGGGUUUAGGCUCCUUCGAGGGUUCGAAUCCCUCCCCCUCCG